UACGGGGGGGGCAAGCGUUGUUCGGAAUUACUGGGCGUAAAGGGCUCGUAGGCGGCCAACUAAGUCAGACGUGAAAUCCCUCGGCUUAACCGGGGAACUGCGUCUGAUACUGGAUGGCUCGAGUUCGGGAGAGGGAUGCGGAAUUCCAGGUGUAGCGGUGAAAUGCGUAGAUAUCUGGAGGAACACCGGUGGCGAAGGCGGCAUCCUGGACCGACACUGACGCUGAGGAGCGGAAGCCAGGGGAGCAAACGGG
This 253-nucleotide ribosomal RNA is filed under the name uncultured bacterium. Its description in RNAcentral is "partial 16S ribosomal RNA". It matches the Rfam family "Bacterial small subunit ribosomal RNA", at positions 524 to 776 of the family's 1533-position model. The record is from RNAcentral.